CCUUACUAAGUCCUGACUUCAUGCGUGAGGGAGUGAUUAGCAGCAUCGCUGGGUAGGAACUAAAUGGUCCUGAGGACCUAGAGAAAGGAGAGAUUAAGUCAUUGUAAAUCAGCCAAGGUAGCACAAGAAGACAAAGUGUUUGAAAUGGCCCUUGCAGGCUGAGGAGGAUCUUGCCAGGCACUUAGAGAGGAGAAGCUCACCCCGGGUCGGUGCAGUGGCAGGAGCAAUUCUGUUUGUGGUGGUGGUGCUUCUGUCAGAUGACUAUUGUGCUUUAAGCACAUCUGCCUUCUUUCCCCUCAGACAGCUAGGACCUGCCACGCAUCUGUUUCUGCUGUUACUCCUGGAACGCCAGCUUCCUCGGGACCCACUGGGCCACUCAGGGUGACAGCCACAUAUUGCUAAUCCUUCCUGAGGACUUUCAGCGAGAGGAAAAUGUCAACGAGGAGAUCGUCAUUUGGGGAAGAAGUGAAAACCACACAAGGAAAAGAAACUGAAAAGACGUGGAGCUAAAGAAGAGAAUCAGUCAUUAUAAACUCCCCUGGCCAAAGGCCAGUGUUGCAUAAAAACGGGUGAAGGCCCAAGAGAACAAAGAAUGACCUCCUCGAACAAAAUGGAAUUCUGCUAGCAGAACACUUUUGGGCUCGGACUGCAACUCUUCCCCAGAUCUCCAGUUGCCCACCUACUCUUCACACUUUGUACUUGGAACCCCACAAUUGCAUAAGCCAAUUCCUUAAAAUAAAACUGUCUUUGUACACA
Leopardus geoffroyi (Geoffroy's cat) is the source of this 756-nucleotide long non-coding RNA. RefSeq lists it as uncharacterized. Lineage: Eukaryota; Metazoa; Chordata; Mammalia; Carnivora; Felidae. The record is from RefSeq and is a predicted model, not a curated record. The transcript has 3 exons.